GUUCAAUGAUGAUAUAAAGGCUAAUGUGACUUGACCAGCUGGGUUGCACCCUCAGCCCAUUCCAGUAAUACGGGUCUGUAAUCUUGGUGGACAACGCAGAGCUGUGCGUGUUUGCUGUAAGGGCAGGCCGACAGAAAAUCCCCUUCCCUGCAUUCCUGGGAAAUAAAUCUUAGGGAUGUGUCAGCUCUUAGUGAGUGCUUCUAUGAGCUGAGGGGGGGCUACGGGGAUAGGAUGGGAUGGCGCAUCCGAGGUUUGGGUUGUAGGGGGCAGCCCGUGCAACAGCUGGUGGGAUGUGAGCACACAUCUUUGGUAAUCUGAUGACU
This is a non-coding RNA of Calypte anna (Anna's hummingbird), 323 nucleotides long. Lineage: Eukaryota; Metazoa; Chordata; Aves; Apodiformes; Trochilidae. The record is from Rfam.